ACGGUCAUUCUUCUGCCACGCGGCCAGAUGGUCCAGGUAAGAUCCCUGACGAGGGAUUUGACCCACUGAGUCACCCCCGGCCUGACUCACCGCCCUCGAAUCGCCCAUGUCCAAUUGGGUCGUGUAACUGGGACCCACUGUCUGAGUUGCACCCACAGUUGCAGCCUUUUGGAGAAGUGCAGUGGCUGACAGGUGGUUCGAUGAUGCCGACACGGCAGGG
This 220-nucleotide unclassified non-coding RNA is filed under the name Hevea brasiliensis (rubber tree). The record is from RNAcentral. Lineage: Eukaryota; Viridiplantae; Streptophyta; Magnoliopsida; Malpighiales; Euphorbiaceae.